This 3519-nucleotide long non-coding RNA is filed under the name Marmota monax (woodchuck). Lineage: Eukaryota; Metazoa; Chordata; Mammalia; Rodentia; Sciuridae. The record is from RNAcentral.
UUCAACCUGUGGGGUCACAGGGAUGGCGGGUCAGGGGUGACCUCUCACCACAGCAGUUUUCUCUGUCGGGACCUCGCUGCCCUCCUCUCCUGCUCUGCCACCUCCACUCGUGCUUCCGUCCCACAUGGAGCCUGAGACACAGACUGGGACCCAGGCAGUGUGCUUGGGAGGAUGUCCCCAGGGGCUGUCGGGAAGGCACAUGGGCAGGGAGACCACAAAGCAGAGAGCCACUGGAGCGUGCAUUGCUGAGCCGGGCCAGGUGAGGGCAGCUGGGCUUGAGUCCACCAGGACCCUCCAUGAUCUGGGGGACAUGAAAAGGCACCCCAGGACGGCCCUGAAUGACGGGGAGCAGGGGCCUGUCCUCGCUGACCACUUUCCCCCUGACAGGAUUGUCCCUGGGGACGCAGCGCCCACCCUUCACUGGGGAAAGUUGUGAGCAGGAAGCCUGGCAUUCAGCAGGACGUGGGCUGAGGCCCCAGCAAGACGAGGACCACCCGCAAGGCUGCAGCUGAUGUCAGAGGGGGGCAGAGGGGACGCGGCGCACAGGGCACAGUGGCAUCCACUAGGGGUGGUGAAGAGGCAGCGCCUGCCAGGAGCCAGAUGGGUGCCCAACACAAACAGCCGCCCGGCCCAGCAGCGGAGGUGAGCGGCUCGGGACAGCUGCAGAGCUAUUUCUUCUAACCUCCUUUCCCGAUUUGGAAGGCGGUGCCUCCUCCGUGUGAAAACAGUGAAGGAAACAGGAGCACAUUGGUGCCAGCUCUCCAGGCAUGGGGACAGGAUGGUGGCAGCCAUGGGUGCCCAGAAGGGAGGCUGCUUGCCUGCUCAGAAGUAGGAAAACGUGAAUGGGACAGACAAGGACAGAGAAGUGCUCCUGGCAGGAACCUGUGAUCAGUUGCCAGGGCUCCCAGGAGUCAGAAGAGCCACCAACCUCCUGUGCCCGCAGCCUCUCUGAGGACCCCCUGGGGGAAAGGGGUCGCACGGUCAGGAGGAAGAUCCCAGGCUUGGAGGCAGAGGUCUCUGAGACACAGCUACCUGCAUGUCCCUAAAGUUCCAUGUAGAGAUGAGAACACUGUGAAGAGCCCAGUUGAAAGGCGCAGCGAUCAUGAUUAUCAUGACCCCCCCCAGAGCUGGCUCAUAAUCCACAGGUACAGAUGACACACCUGAAAUCAGAGGGUAAGCCACGUGUCCGGGUCCGUGCCUCAAGCAUCAGACCCCAGACUUGAACCAGCUCCUCUGAGUCCCAGAUCAAAGCUCCUCUGAUCUCACAUUUCUGGAAAAAUCCCAAACGCAGCUGUCUAGGUACAGACACCCACAGGAAGAGCCCACCAGAAUGUCACGAGCUGGUGAAGGAAGCAGGAGGAAGACAGGCUGGGGGUGACCAAUGACCCAGCCUCAUCCUGGAGAUGUGCAGAAGGAAUCAAAAGAGGGUCAAGGCCAAGGGGUGCCAGGAGUCGUGGGCUGCAGACUCUCACCCUGAUUCUGCAAGCCCUUGUGCUGAUCUGGGUUUUCCCGUGACCGUGGUCUGCCACAGGGUGCCUUUGGAGUCAGUGAUCCUGUGGACAACAAGUUCUGGAAGGUCAGUGAGGGUGCAGAGCUGGCCAAGGCUCCCUAGGGGAGCUAGCUCUGGGGCUGCAUAGGUCAGGAAAGGGGGGCUUCCCUGUCCCAGGGCUCUAAUAAACCCUACUGAUUGGAGAUGGCCAGGCUCGAUUUCAGCUGUGAGGACCUGACUGCCGCUCCCCCGACUCCCACUGCCUCUGGACAAGAGCUGGGCUCGAGUCACACCCUCCCCUGCUCACAGCCCCGCAGCCUGCCUUCAUGUGGCUGAGUGUGUACCAGGGCGGAGAAUUGUGGCAGGGGUGGGAGGAGGCUAGGAGAAAAAGCAGCCACCUGUUCACCCCAGUUCUGCUCAGAGCCUCUCUCCUGUCCAGAGCCACCGAGUGGGACAGGAUGGUGGGAGGCAGACCCACGCACCUCAAUUCUGAGCACUCACACCAGUUGGGCCUGGGUCCCGGAGCCAGCGCGUGGGCGCCCGCCUGUGCUCCUGUUUCUGGAAGCUUUAUAUACAAGGCACAGAGGUGCGAAGGAGGGAUGCUAGACUGGCCCAGGGAGAGGAGCCGGCCUGGCAGCCUGGAGGAGAGUCUUAACUCUCAGACCUGGGUAUAUUGGCAUCACUCAGCAAUCAGACAAGAUGGAUGUCCUCCCAGGACUGUUUUGUGUGUGUGUGUUUUUUUUUAAGUGGGCAAAACCUUUACCCUUUUCCAUUCUGUUUCCUCAUCCUGUGUAGGGGAUGAUAAUAGAGCCUCCCUCCAAGGGCUGUUGUGACUAGAAUAGGGCCUCAGCAAAUGGUAGCUGCUUUUUCAGUUGUUAGGAUCAUUACUAUAAAUGUGUGUGUUCAAGUACAGAACCUGGCGGCGCCGGAAGAAUGGCUGGAAGUGCAGGUGGGUAGAAGCUGUCAGUGGAUGACAUCGAAGAUGGAAAGAGACACUUGAUUUGCACCUGCUUGGUUUAGUUAUUGUGAUCUGGUAUCCAUGGAAACUGCUGAAUAUUGAUACUCAAAAUAGGCAGCUUUUCUCUGUGCUAAGAGCAGUGAGGGAAGGGGGUGCUCUGCACUUUGCUCCCCAACAGAGGCGGCAGGUUCCUCACCCACCCUGUUCCUUUCUCCCUACCAGGGAGCAAGUCCUUCAAGUGCAGUCAAUGAAUAAAGGACAUACAGAAAUCAAAGGUCCAGCUGGUUUCUGGGGUGCAGCAAAUGCUACCCAUCUUAGUUGUGGAAUGAACGAGUGAGCGAGUGAAUGGAAGGUGGGUGUUGUCUGAUCAACUCAGGAACAGGCAGGAUUGACCUGUGGGUAAGUGACCUCGGAGCCGUCCUCUGGGAGGGCUGGGGAGGGCAGGCUUAGUCAUCACCUCUUGCUUUGGGCUCACACAAGGCUCAUGGGACCAGACUGGGUUCUGUUUGAGAUGAGGUCUAAGUGGUGAAAAGCUACAGCUUGGGGUCAACCCAAUCUGAGCGAACUGCUGACUCAGCUGCUGCCUUGCUUUGUAAACUUCAGCAAACUCUUAAUUUCUCCAGGCCUCUGUGCUUCUCUAUGAAGUGGCCUGACAGUGUCUACCUCUCGGGGAUGUUCUGCAGGUUGAACGGCCCCCUGUGCAUAAAUGUGCAUUUGCCACUGGGAAGGAGAUCGCACUGUCUUCCCCAGAGGCUCUGUGGAGCAGGAAUGAUAGCAGGUCUCUUCUUUCAAGUGAUUCAGAUCCACGAACGGGAAAGUCUUUGUAGAUUUUGAGCACUCACAGCAUGGCUUGAGUGGCACAGAGUCUAGGGAGACCUGGAACUUGGAGCACUACUGGGACAAGCUCCCCAGCCAGGAGGGAGGGGACCACAAAGCAGGAAGACCCCAGGAGCCUGGCAGGGAGCUCCAUCCACAAGCCAGGUGCACACAGUAGGACUGCGUGGGGUCGAGACCUGUGCCUGACUGCCUCCAUGUGCCCUUGGGUAAGUGGUUUAACGUCUUGGGGCCUCUG